Molecule: unclassified non-coding RNA, 4557 nt
Filed under: Hevea brasiliensis (rubber tree)
Lineage: Eukaryota; Viridiplantae; Streptophyta; Magnoliopsida; Malpighiales; Euphorbiaceae
Source: RNAcentral
GUGCAGUACCAUAGCUCAAGCUUUAACAGCUCUUAAAAAUGGUGGCAGAAAAGAAGUGUCAAGCACAUGGCGAAUACCAUGUUUUUUACAACAAAAACAAAACAUAAUGAAACUCAAUCUCAGGGACAAAGAAGAUUGAGAGGAUCAAAUCAGUAAUAUGGCAGAUGUCUCCUCUUCUAAGAUUUAAAUUUAGGAUACAUUUCAUUACAAGUAACAAACAACAAAGCGUAAAAAAGCAUAUCCCUAAGAAGCCCAAUGGGUAGCACUUACAUUCACCUAAUUUCAUUUCCUAAGAGCUGUAUCUAUACAAGAAAAGGAACAAGUCAAAUCACACAAAUUAUUAGAUUAUAAUCAACCCUGUUCUUUAUAAGGAGUCCAGAUCAAUUUGCUAACAUCAACCUCUAGACCACCACGGCCAGCAGCUUUUAGAUGACGAUCCAAGACUUUUGGAUCUGCACAAAUCACAUGCUGCCCCUUUCUGUACUGAAUCAAUUCUAGGCUCUGAAGGGUGGUCAAAAUAUCCUCCGCCUUGAUGGCUGUCAUGUCACUAAGCUCCUUGAUAGAAAUAUUGCCCUUGUGUUUCUUCAAGAUGUCCAAAAGAACUCGAGUCCAGUACCCUCUGUAGCUCAACAAUCCUAGGUCAGAAAGUGGUCUUUCAGGUGUACCAACUUUACCUUCUUUCUUGGAAAGUUCAUAUGCUGCUCCACAUGAAAGAUAAAAUCAGUAGUCAAAUAUAUACACAAACUGAACAAACUAAAAAGAACAUCCAUCUUUAUUACAUGGAGGAGUUUAUAACUUAAUGUUGACACAAUUUGGAAUUAAUACAAGACUGGAAAGUUUGAUUUGAUUCCUUAUACUAAGGUCCACCUCUAGCACUACAGGAUAGGCAGAAUUCAGACACCAACUGACCAACAAUAAAGGGUCAGUGGUCUCAGGAAUGAUCUAAGCAAUUUUAUGUUCAGUCUAUCCAUAAUAUUACCCAUAACCACUUUUAAAAGAACUCAAUGACAGAGAACUUAAACAAAUUGGGUAUUCAAGCAGCCAUCUAUCACUGAAGACUGACUUAAUAGAUAAAGACAAGCAUCUUUAAUUACAAAACUUACCAUCCUCUUGUCUCCAAUAAUUUAGAGAGCCAUUGCUCACUACUGUUAAAUUUUAUUCCAAAACAAGAAAAAUCUUUUCAGCAAUUAAAUGCAAAAAAUAAAAAGAGCUACAAGGUUAAGGAACAAGAACAGAUGCAUAAUUUAGCAAGAUACAGAUUCACAUAAGCUGAGAAAGAUAAGAGAUAAAAUGGCUGAGAGCUUACAGAAGGCAAUUAAAAAUUUUCCAUAGCCUUUCCUUUGGUAAGGAGGAAGAGUGAGAAUACAUGCCAAAUUAUAUGAUUCCUCAGAAUGUUUUUCCUUGGAAAAAUAUCCCACCAUGUGGCAUCCUCGAUCAUCACAUUCACACAAAACGUAGAAUAGAAACAGGUCGACAUCAUAAUAAAGGGUCUUGUGAUCAAGAAAUAGCUUUGCUAAAUAACAAAGAUUCUGGCCAUAAACUUUGUUCUUUUUGCCAUCAACCUGUGUCAAAAUAUUCAGUCAAAGCAAAGCUCAAUCAACUGCUGACUUCAGAUAUGGCUACUACUUAAGAAAAUAAAGUGAGAUCACAUGAGAUGUGAAAAUUGCACAAGAUUAGGAGUUGAGAAAUAAGAAUAAAAUAAUGUAUCCAACUUUUUCCAAAAUCAAAUGUCAACUAUGGUAUUUUCUCGAAGUACAUCAACCUUUUUUGUAAGGACAAUAUAAAAGGAAAGAGAAGAAGUCUAGUUAUGACAUUUGAAAGCAUCACAGAUAAGUCUCAGAUAACAGAUAUCAACUAUGCAUUAGACCCAAAAACACCCAGAAUAAGUUAAAAGAAAUUCACUUAGCUCGCAAAGUAACUUACAGUCAUACCAUACCUCGAACAUUGACAAUGUACCACUCCGAUAGAUCUCAUCACCAGGGGGAUGCUUGAGAUCACACUUUCUCUAUAUAAAACAAAUGAAGAAAUUAGGGGGAAGAAGUGAAAUGUUAAACCAAUUGCAAAACAUCUAGAGAUGGCAAUUUCAUCCUGAAAAAGCCCAAUGAAGAACCUUGUCCUGCCAAUGGUAGCAGGGCAAGGAUGAAUUUAAGCCAGCCCAUCCCUAUUUUUGCCCCCAACUUCAAAAUAUAGUUUUUGUUAUAAUUUUUGGUUAAAUAUGUGAAAACUUAUUUAUCUUUUAAGAUAUCUCAUUAUUACUCAAUACUAUUCCUUUUGUUCACAAGCAAUAAUAAUAUUUAAAAUUUAACAUAUAUCCAUAUUAUAGGGGUGGCACAAGCCAUGCCCAUGGGGCCUGGAAUUUUAAAAUUUUAAUUUCUUUAAUACAAAAAUUUUUAUUUUUUACAAGUAUUUGUAAAAAUAUAUAAACAAAAUAUUUAUAUUAUAUAAUAUUUUUAUACUAUUUAUAUAUUUUUUAUUAUAAAAUACAUAAAGAUAUAUUAUAUAUAAUUUGAACUUGAUGGGUUGGGCUCAAAAUGUGAAGCCCAGGCCUGACCCUAUUUUUAAUAGGCCUAAUUUUUUGCGCUUGGCCCAGUGGGCCUAAAACCUAAGACCAGACCCAUUUAUUUUACAUGGCCAGGCUCAAUAAGCCCACCACAAUAUCUAUAUAAUACUUAAUUUAAUGAUAAUAUAUAAAUAUAUUACUUUUCGUAAUUUAUAUAAAAUUGUAACCACAAUGAACAACAUCCAUGACGGAUUUCCAUGAAUGUUCAAAUAAGUCAGAACUCAGAAAAGCAACAUCUGCACAUUGAUCAAAAACUAAGAUUAAAGACUGGCACUACAGAACUCUUAUUUAGAGCAGACACAAAUUGAGCACUACAAACCAUGGAAAUUUUUGAGAGACGGCUCACCAUAUGCCUUUGAAGCUGUUCUUUACGCUUCAUGAAAUUGAGGCAAAACUCACAAAAGUACAGCUUGACAGAAUCAUUGUAUUCUGGUGGAAAGGGGGAGAAGUACCAUGUCUCAAUCUCAUAUCUCCCAAGUUCAAUAGUGGCUAUAUUUUUCACUUUUGUGAAUUCCUCAUGUUCACGUAAGCUGGCAGCAUCAAGCUCCUCGUGGCCCUCUACAUGUGUUUCAUCAAUCUUACGUUUCUGGUGGCGUGUCAUUUUCAAGCUUGUUACCUUGUCUUCCACCUUCUCAUCUACAACAGUCUCCACUGAAUCAAGAUCUAGUUGUUCAAGCUUCACCCAUUCAUCAAGCCUCCUAUUAACUGCCAAAAGGUUAAAUAUAGAUGAUAGGCCACAAAGAACAAAAAUUUUAAAAUACCAAUAUUUGUGGUCUCCAAUCAUGUCCAUAAUCAGUAAAUGGAAUUCAAAGAAAAUCAAUAAAUGCAAAAAAAAUUAUAUUAGGGGAUGCAAACAAUAUAUAUGCCCUGAGGCUUCCACAGCCAACCUUGCUGUUACCAAACAGAUUCCAGCGAAAUAAGUAAGAUCCCAAAGUUUCCUAGUCAAUGCAAAAGCAAGUGUUGCAAUCAUUCCACAACAAUUUGCACAGUAAGAAUCAAUUCAAGUUCAUCCUUUUACAGAUAUUAUCAAUGGUUAAACACCAUUCGCAGUUGCAGUUAUCUGUAUGCAUAUAUCACACAACCAUAUCAUACUAAAUUGUAACCUUGCAUUUUCUUCACCAACAUCUGCCUGCCCCAACUAGUUCCUUAUAAAAAUUUAUAUCCAUAGCAGAAUUGCCUUCCAAACAACAAAAUUAGUCCUUAAUUUCUCCAUGCUCCCAUAAAUUGGUUGCUAAAAAGCAAGGCACAGGUCCCUACAAUAAAUUAUGUGAAACUAAGUAUUUCUCCCCGAGAGAAUUCGCACUGGAUUCAAAACUAAAAGAAAGCUAAAAGGACAGACUUCACAAAGCUAGAAUAUAAAUGGCUUUAUAUCUGUUGAAUUUAAGUAACAUCGUAACAUAAUCUUCGAUCCAUACAUAAAUCUGCAGAUAAUAAUACUUGGAAGUAAAUAGUUUAUCACAUCCAAUCCUCCUAUUCCGUUUUGAUUAUGAAGACAAAAACGGACUCACCCAAAGAAGCAGCAAACCAAAGACAAUUUUCUCCUCUUCCAUUAAAAAAAGCCCUUCCUAUAAUUUCAAGCACAAAAUAUGAACUCUAACCCUAAUUCUAAUCCCGUGCACCAAAUCAACAACAAACAAAUAAAUUAAUACUCACACUCGGUGUAAUGGACAUAAUACUCGUAAUCGUUAGGUCCACCGCACUGCAUUUUGCGGCGCUCGAUGAUCUUUACCUGGUGAUACUUGCCGUCCCUCCAACGGCACAGCACACGAGUACCCACCUCAAGCGGUAGCACACUCGACCUUCUCUUCUUCAACGAGUCAGAUUCUAUCUGCGUCAUUUCGGCGGCCGGCGGAGGCAUUCCGUUGACAACAGAAUGAGGCUUCUGGUAGAAGUCGGCGGCGCCAGCAGGGGACACGGUUGCUGUUGCGCUUCCGGAGCCGUUCUCCGGAUUUGUUGGUGUUUCUAUGGAACCCAUAGCCGGUUUCAGAUGUCCAAGU